RNAcentral lists this ribosomal RNA (440 nucleotides) under uncultured bacterium. RNAcentral's name for it is "partial 16S ribosomal RNA". It matches the Rfam family "Bacterial small subunit ribosomal RNA", at positions 338 to 795 of the family's 1533-position model. The record is from RNAcentral.
CCUACGGGUGGCAGCAGUGGGGAAUAUUGCACAAUGGGGGAAACCCUGAUGCAGCGACGCCGCGUGAGUGAAGAAGUAUUUCUGUACGUAAAGCUCUAUCAGCAGGGAAGAAAAUGACGGUACCUGACUACUACGCCCCGGCUCCCUCCGUGCCAGCAGCCGCGGUCCUACGUAGGGGGCAAGCGUUAUCCGGAUUUACUGGGUGUAAAGGGAGCGUAGACGGCAGCGCAAGUCUGGAGUGAAAUCCCAUGGCUUAACCAUGGAACUGCUUUGGAAACUGUGCAGCUAGAGUGCAGGAGAGGUAAGCGGAAUGCCUAGUGUAGCGGUGAAAUGCGUAGAUAUGAGGAGGAACACCAGUGGCGAAGGCGGCUUACUGGACUGUAACUGACGUUGAGGCUCGAAAGCGUGGGGAGCAAACAGGAUUAGAUACCCGGGUAGUC